CGAGGGGCAUCAGUUUGGUUUGCUUGCAACCAAAGCUGGCGACCGGCGCACGGGUGAGUAACACGUAUCCAACCUGCCUCAUACUCGGGGAUAGCCUUUCGAAAGAAAGAUUAAUAUCCGAUAGCAUAUAUUUCCCGCAUGGGUUUUAUAUUAAAGAAAUUCGGUAUGAGAUGGGGAUGCGUUCCAUUAGUUUGUUGGCGGGGUAACGGCCCACCAAGACUACGAUGGAUAGGGGUUCUGAGAGGAAGGUCCCCCACAUUGGAACUGAGACACGGUCCAAACUCCUACGGGAGGCAGCAGUGAGGAAUAUUGGUCAAUGGACGCGAGUCUGAACCAGCCAAGUAGCGUGAAGGAUGACUGCCCUAUGGGUUGUAAACUUCUUUUAUAUGGGAAUAAAGUGGUCCACGUGUGGAUUUUUGUAUGUACCAUAUGAAUAAGGAUCGGCUAACUCCGUGCCAGCAGCCGCGGUAAUACGGAGGAUCCGAGCGUUAUCCGGAUUUAUUGGGUUUAAAGGGAGCGUAGGCGGAUUGUUAAGUCAGUUGUGAAAGUUUGCGGCUCAACCGUAAAAUUGCAGUUGAUACUGGCAGUCUUGAGUGCAGUAGAGGUGGGCGGAAUUCGUGGUGUAGCGGUGAAAUGCUUAGAUAUCACGAAGAACUCCGAUUGCGAAGGCAGCUCACUGGAGUGUAACUGACGCUGAUGCUCGAAAGUGUGGGUAUCAAACAGGAUUAGAUACCCUGGUAGUCCACACAGUAAACGAUGAAUACUCGCUGUUUGCGAU
RNAcentral lists this ribosomal RNA (778 nucleotides) under uncultured bacterium. RNAcentral describes it as "bacterial SSU rRNA". It matches the Rfam family "Bacterial small subunit ribosomal RNA", at positions 63 to 830 of the family's 1533-position model. The record is from RNAcentral.